UGAGGAAUAUUGGUCAAUGGGCGAGAGCCUGAACCAGCCAAGUAGCGUGCAGGAAGACGGCCCUAUGGGUUGUAAACUGCUUUUAUGUGGGGAUAAAGUGAGCUACGCGUAGUUUAUUGCAGGUACCACAUGAAUAAGGACCGGCUAAUUCCGUGCCAGCAGCCGCGGUAAUACGGAAGGUCCAGGCGUUAUCCGGAUUUAUUGGGUUUAAAGGGAGCGUAGGCCGUGGAUUAAGCGUGUUGUGAAAUGUAGACGCUCAACGUCUGAAUUGCAGCGCGAACUGGUUCACUUGAGUAUGCACAACGUAGGCGGAAUUCGUCGUGUAGCGGUGAAAUGCUUAGAUAUGACGAAGAGCUCCGAUUGCGAAGGCAGCUGACGGGAGCGCAACUGACGCUUAAGCUCGAAGGUGCGGGUAUCAAACAGGAUUAGAUACCCUGGUAGUCCGCACAGUAAACGAUGGAUGCCCGCUGUUGGUACCUGGUAUCAGCGGCUAAGCGAAAGCAUUAAGCAUCCCACCUGGGGAGUACGCCGGCAACGGUG
This 540-nucleotide ribosomal RNA is filed under the name uncultured bacterium. RNAcentral describes it as "bacterial SSU rRNA". It matches the Rfam family "Bacterial small subunit ribosomal RNA", at positions 355 to 896 of the family's 1533-position model. The record is from RNAcentral.